UUUCACUCAACUGUGUCCGUUAAUCAAGAACGAAAGUUAGGGGAUCGAAGACGAUCAGAUACCGUCGUAGUCCUAACUAUAAACGAUGUCAACCAAGGAUUGGAUGAAAUUCAGAUGUACAAAGAUGAAGAAGCAUUGUUUCUUAAUCUGAGUAUAUCAAUAUUACCUUGUUCAGAACUUAAAGAGAAAUCUUGAGUUUAUGGACUUCAGGGGGAGUAUGGUCACAAGGCUGAAACUUAAAGGAAUUGACGGAAGGGCACACCAGGAGUGGAGCCUGCGGCUUAAUUUGACUCAACACGGGAAAACUUACCAAGACCGAACAGUAGAAGGAAUGACAGAUUAAGAGUUCUUUCAUGAUUUAUUGGGUAGUGGUGCAUGGCCGUUCUUAGUUGGUGGAGUGAUUUGUCAGGUUAAUUCCGGUAACGAACGAGACUGAAACCUAUUAAUUAGUUUUCUGCCUAUAAGACAGAAAUGUUCGCAAGAACAGGUGCGUAAGUACCACUUCUUAAAGGGACACAUUUCAAUUGUCCUAUUUUAAUUGUAGUUAUCUAAUUUCGGUUAGAGCUCUUUUAACGUGGGAAAAAGAAAAAGGAAGCAUUCAGCAAU
This 606-nucleotide ribosomal RNA is filed under the name Entamoeba histolytica. RNAcentral describes it as "SSU rRNA". It matches the Rfam family "Eukaryotic small subunit ribosomal RNA", at positions 954 to 1454 of the family's 1831-position model. The record is from RNAcentral. Lineage: Eukaryota; Evosea; Mastigamoebida; Endamoebidae.